AUUCUAUUAUCAUUGUGUGUGCAUAAUCAGGCAAGGGAGAGGCACGUUCUUCCACUUUGAAUUUUCCUGGAACAAAAAUUUGAAAAACUUUAAAGAGUCAAGAAAGAAAGAAAUAGGCUGGCCUACUCAGAGGUAGGGUCCUUGGCCCAGAGUAUGUACAGUGCUGGGUUCUACCCCUAACACUGACAAAAGCAAAACAAAUAUGGAAUCAACAAACAAGAAUAAAGGGAUGAAGAAGAAAAAGAAAGCAACUAGUAACUCAAACCAGAAACCUUUGUCUAUUAUGACCUGGCAUCUCCACCAAGAAAGCAGCAGCUUGAACUUGGUUCUUGUGUGACUCUUGAUCAGGUCACUGCAUCUGAACAGCUCCAUGGUUUAAUAUUUCGUGAAGAACAGUAUGUUGUGAGAAGGGGCAAGGCCUAUCUUUGGAAUUCAUCCACUUUCUGGAAACAGUGACUUUCUCGAAUGGCAGGAAACCCAGGAUUGGCGCCUCCUUCCUGGAUCCAACCUGAGACACUCAGAGAUGGAGCCCACGGCGCCUCAUGGCUGAUGUUCCAGAAGAUGGAAUUAUCUCUAGUAGCAAUACCAGGAGCAUGGAAGCCCCUCUGUGACCUGUUGACAGACACCAUGUUUUGCAUAAUAUAUAUAUUUUCAUUUUC
Long non-coding RNA from Mus musculus (house mouse), 659 nucleotides. RefSeq annotates it as predicted gene, 32705. The record is from RefSeq and is a predicted model, not a curated record. Lineage: Eukaryota; Metazoa; Chordata; Mammalia; Rodentia; Muridae. The transcript has 3 exons.